Haemonchus placei is the source of this 75-nucleotide non-coding RNA. The record is from Rfam. NCBI's taxonomy places the organism in Eukaryota, Metazoa, Nematoda, Chromadorea, Rhabditida, Trichostrongylidae.
GGCCCAAAUUUGUAGUAGUGUAGAUUAGUAAGAUCGGCUGACCCUACUAAACUACUCCUUUUCAAGUUUGUGCCC